This 497-nucleotide ribosomal RNA is filed under the name uncultured bacterium. RNAcentral describes it as "partial 16S ribosomal RNA". It matches the Rfam family "Bacterial small subunit ribosomal RNA", at positions 28 to 507 of the family's 1533-position model. The record is from RNAcentral.
GAUGAACGCUGGCGGCGUGCCUAAUACAUGCAAGUCGAGCGAACGGACGAGAAGCUUGCUUCUCUGAUGUUAGCGGCGGACGGGUGAGUAACACGUGGAUAACCUACCUAUAAGACUGGGAUAACUUCGGGAAACCGUAGCUAAUACCGGAUAAUAUUUUGAACCGCAUGGUUCAAAAGUGAAAGACGGUCUUGCUGUCACUUAUAGAUGGAUCCGCGCUGCAUUAGCUAGUUGGUAAGGUAACGGCUUACCAAGGCAACGAUGCAUAGCCGACCUGAGAGAGUGAUCGGCCACACUGGAACUGAGACACGGUCCAGACUCCUACGGGAGGCAGCAGUAGGGAAUCUUCCGCAAUGGGCGAAAGCCUGACGGAGCAACGCCGCGUGAGUGAUGAAGGUCUUCGGAUCGUAAAACUCUGUUAUUAGGGAAGAACAUAUGUGUAAGUAACUGUGCACAUCUUGACGGUACCUAAUCAGAAAGCCACGGCCAACUACGUG